AGCUGUCGAUUCAAAUAGUGCCGAAAUUGCAAUACACACUUGAGCACAAAAUAUUUUCGAAUGCCACAUGUGGCACCCAUUUGGGUUUGAUAUCCCGAAAGGAGUACGUUCUUGGUGUGAAAGGGGUUCAAAUUAAAAGUAAUAAUCUGUAUUUGCAUUGAUUUAGUAUUCUAUUAUUCCCA
RNAcentral lists this ribosomal RNA (182 nucleotides) under Brugia malayi. RNAcentral's name for it is "5.8S ribosomal RNA". The record is from RNAcentral. Lineage: Eukaryota; Metazoa; Nematoda; Chromadorea; Rhabditida; Onchocercidae.